CCGCCCUGCCUGCCCAGCCAGAAGCCCCAGCCAGGGCUUCUGGCCUGGGAGCACGUGGCUGCCCCGUGCCAGAACACAGACUUGAAUAUUUGGCUUCUUGUAUCAUUAACUGAAUGAACUAGUUUCCUGAGCCAGGAACGUCAAUAGCUACCAUAUCCAGAUUUGAUGAAGUCAUAAUCUUGGACAAUUUCAAGACACCAUUUUUGUUUUUUAAUAUCUAUUCUUUCCCUGUGAAUUCAAUACUAACAUUAUUGUGUCUAUAUUGUCUGUGUUGACAAAUUCCACACAUAUAUAGAACAUUUAUCAUCCAAUUUAACAUGUCAGAUUAAGUAUGAAUAAAUCAAGAAAGAAAACAACAAAAAAUUAAAAUGUUUUUCUACUAUAAA
Molecule: long non-coding RNA, 386 nt
Organism: Alligator mississippiensis (American alligator)
Lineage: Eukaryota; Metazoa; Chordata; Crocodylia; Alligatoridae
Exons: 2
Source: RefSeq, a predicted model, not a curated record